Non-coding RNA from Echinostoma caproni, 46 nucleotides. Lineage: Eukaryota; Metazoa; Platyhelminthes; Trematoda; Plagiorchiida; Echinostomatidae. The record is from Rfam.
AUCAAGGCCUUUUUAAAGGCCACCACUUUUGAGCAGCUUAUGGCAU